UUCAAUGCAGCUUUCAUACUGUCCUCAUUUCUGCUAUUUUCUAUCAAUCUUUUAACCAUUAGGGGUUUAGUGUAGCUUAGUAUUUGAUCUGGUUCAGCCUCGGGGUUGCUUAGAUAUUAUAUUUUCGUUCAUGUUCGAUUAGGUUGGCAUGAUGCUGGUACCUAUGACAAGAACAUUAUCGAGUGGCCCAAGUGUAGUGGCGCUAAUGGUAGCUUGAGAUCCAAAGUCGAGUUGAAGCAUGGGGCCAAUGCUGAUCUUGUGAAUGCUCUGAAGCUGAUCCAACCUAUCAAGGACAAGUUUUCAAGUGUUACCUAUGCAGAUCUGUUUCAGCUUGCAAGGGCCAUAGCUAUUGAGGAAGCAGGUGUCCCCAAAAUCCCUAUGAUCUAUGGAAGGGUUGACGUUAUUGCCCUUGACAAUGCCCGCCAAAGGGAAGGCUUCCUGGGCCGAUAGACGGCUCGACGCACAAGUGGUGGUUGUGGAGGCCAGACAGCGCACAAGGCCAUCACUGGGUUGUGGCGGGGCAGGAGAGAUGAGUGGGGGAGACUGGGAGAGUGAUGAGCCUUUUCUGUAAUUGAGACAGACUCCACCAAGGUUGGCAUGAUGCUGGUACCUAUGACAAGAACACUAUCGAGUGGCCCAAGUGUAGUGGCGCUAAUGGUAGCUUGAGAUCCAAAGUCGAAUUGAAGCAUGGGGCCAAUGCUGAUCUUGUGAAUGCUCUGAAGCUGAUCCAACCUAUCAAGGACAAGUUUUCAAGUGUUACCUAUGCAGAUCUGUUUCAGCUUGCCAGUGCCAUAGCUAUUGAGGAAGCAGGUGUCCCCGAAAUCUGUAUGAUCUAUGGAAGGGUUGACGUUAUUGCCCUUGACAAUGCCCGCCAAAGGGGAGGCUUCCUGGGCCGAUAGAUGGCUUGACGAACAAGCGGUGGCUGUGGAGCCCGCGGCAGCGCACAAGGCCAUCGCUGGGUUGUGGCGGGGCAGGAGAGAUGAGUGGGGGAGACUGGGAGAGUGAUGAGCCUUUUCUGUAAUUGAGACGGACUCCACCAAGAUUUGGGUCCAGAGUUUGUUUUCACAAUCAAACGGUAUCCUCAUGUAUGUGCAUAAGGAGGAGGAUCCCUAGAACUUGAUUCUUUCCUGUGCGGCCACUGAUGGCAUCCUUUAUUUGCGUCAAGGAUUUCCCUCAAGAUUUAUGCAUGCAUGCGUGGCACAAAUUUCUUUGCUCUCCUAAGUGGGAUUUGAGAUCGUGUGAAGCUAAGCUUUUCAUCAAGAUGGCACUUGUUGUUAUCUAUGGAUCUAUCUACCCCAUACUUCCAUGGACACCGGCUACUACAACUGAUGCCAAGUACUGCUGCAUAUAUGCUGCUUGAGCUAGAUGCUGCUGCUUCACACCUGCUUCUGCUAGCUGGUACCAAACACUGCAUAUAUGCUGCUUCACGCCUGCAGAACUGAUGGUGAAUUCUAUGUGUCUGAACUGAAUUGUAUGAACUCAAGUGAUGCUUUUGUGUGAAUGGAAUAAGUGUGCGAAACUGAGAAGAACAGAUUGUGUGCAUAACCGUUUGGGCUAACUGUGUGACAGUAUGUCUGCAUAAUACUUGUCUGAAAAAUUGAUUCGACUGACUAACAAUUCGAAAGAUUGACUGCAUAACAGUUGUCUGACACACUGAGAAACUGAAAAGCAUCACUUGAGUUCAUUGGUUCCUUGGUUCAAGGUUUGUUUUAUUGGAGCAUACAUUUACAUAAAAUUAGAAUGGCAAUUCCAUACACAACUCAUGAGCUACUUGCAGCAAUUGUUCAGUUCUUAAUUAUAUUAAUAUUAUCCAAUCAUAUUUCAGAGUGUUAGUUCUGCAGGAGAGGUGCUUGAGACAAGGAAAAGUAGGGAGUCAAAAUCAUGAUGAAUGUUGUCAUCUUGAAACAUAACUAAGUUAAAAACAUUGUCAUGGUAGCCUUUUUUGCCGUGAUAGAAACCAUCAAAUGCAUGAAAUUCUUUCAGUCGAUUGAAAAACUCUUGUCUAAACUUAUGUCAGUGAUUUUCUUUUAAAUCAUAAGCAUGAAGUGCAUCAUUUUACAUUUUACUGUCCUGACAAAGCAAAGCACUAGCACUGGUCUGACAUCAUCCAAGCACGCCAUAAAAUUACUAUUUCUAACUUUGGUUAUCUGUACACUUAUGGUUGGAAGCGAUGCAUUUUUAAAACUGUUUUUAUCUCUAUAUUUCUUUACUGCAGAUUGGAGAGUAGUACACAGGUAUUUGUAGUUCUUUCAUGUGAAAUUUUACUACUGUGUGAUAAACCUUCAUACACGACAGACCUUACAAGUUUUGAGAGUUUUAUAUUUCAGCUAGCUAAUUUAGGCUUGGUUCCAUAGGACUGUAUGAGUGACUGCAACGAUGCCAUUAUAAUCAUUGAAGUGAUGUUUUGUGGAACAACCAGAUUUGUAAAGUUUAAUUGGAUCUAAGUGACCAUUAUAAGAAAAAUCAUUGAUUAUUACUUGGUUCAUCUUUAUCCAACUUAUUAUAGGUUUUCACGUAUUUUUGUUAUGAGUGCAAGGUGCAGUUUCUGUAUCUAACUGCCCCUUUCUUAACAUCAUGUGGCUAUUCUAUUACUUUGUUUUGUGUAUAUAAUUACCAGACACAUGUUUGCUACUAGAUUUAUCGGCAUGAAUAAUUGAUGAGACAAACUCAAUGUCAACCGUCUUUCUUUGAGUUUUCUUCAUUGAUAGAAUCAAAGGCAUAAAGAUAGGUGUGUGUUUCAUUUCUUCAUUGAUUAGUCCUAGAUCUUAUUUCAACUAUUUCUUCAUUGAUUAGUUCUAGAUCUGUGAAAAGUACUACCUUUAUGUUGCAUGGACCUCCUACAAGUUCCCUCAUUAACCAAAAGAAAUGAGAAGUCUCCAAAUUUCUUAAGGUAGUCAGAUUUUGAUAUUGUUGCUAUCAAAGUAGACAAACUAUAUUUUUAACGAUAUUCACUAAGGUUAUAUAGAAAUUGUAUCUCUAAAUUAAGUUGCGUAGUUGGGAUACAAUCUGAGAUCUAGAUUCAUUAACAUUUUGAUCGAACGAGCAACAGUAGGCCCCCUUAAUUUUUGUGUCGCCGCAAAGCACUGCCACCGACGACGAAUGGGCGCUUCAGAACGAGCAACUCUAUGAUUGUCACCUACCUUUCCUAAGCCUACUUUUGUUACUACUAUAAGAAUAAGUCAACGAAAAAAGCUUCAUCUCUAUUUGUUUCCGCUAUGCAUUGUGUAGCUUAGAGUUGUCUCAUAACACUAGAAUGAUUGAGCGGUGGGGAACACUAUGGGUAUCCUUGAUUUUUUUCUUGCAUUGAGUUGCCUUUGUAUCAAUUUUUAAUUGUUUCUUAUUGAGACUUGUUUGGUAUAACAACAACCUGGUGAUGUCUUGAUGAAUUGCAAAUUAGUUGUGCGGAGCCUGCUUGGGUAGGGUGAACAAAGUGGCUUUGUUUAUGGCCCUUUCCACCCUUGCUGUUGCAAGGAAACAUGAACUUGAUGGCAGCAAUAAACCUGGGCAAAGGGAGAAGGCGCAUGACUGGAGAGCCUUUCUUCUUUAUUUUGACCAGUCCCAGAAACAAGGUGGGUUCAGUACUUCAAUCCUUUUUUGUUCCUUCAGACAAAACUAUAAUGUUUCUACUUGAGUAUAGGAAGUAUGUGUAUAGCAUGUCUUUCUAGCUGUGGUUUUAUAUAAUUAGGCUUAAGGUAAUAGUGGCAUGUGGGGAUGUAUUUUAUUCUUUAUUGGAACGUGGUGGGUUUUCUAUAGUGGUGAUGUUUUCCUUUGGUUUGAUAGCUACAAUUUUUUAAUACAUAAUCCUUGGUGCUCUGCAUGAGUUUCAUUCAAGCUGAGCAGGGCGUAGCUGCUGCCAAGGUUCCCCGUUCAACGCUUGCAGCCACAUCCCUCUGCCAGCCAGGCGGUGGUGGGGAGGGAGACUGGGAUGGAGCAUGUGCCGAUGUGGCUGCGUGCGUUCCCGGAUCUGCACACCUAUGUCAGCAUGUAGGUGUGGGUUGAGUCAUCGGUGACUAAUGACAUGAUGGACAAGGUGGAGCAGGUGCGGCAACGGAGGAUGGCCGAGAAGUCCCUGCUCAGCUUGCAAUGAAGGUUGGCUAUGGCAAGCGCGGAAGAAUUAAAAAAUAAUGGUUGUCAGGAGACAUAUGAGAGCCCUAGAAAAGUGGUGAGGCAUCAGUUGCUAAUGGAUAUGCAGCAGGUGAUAUCCAUGAUGGAUAUGCAGCAGGUGAUAUGUCCAGCAUAUAGUGAUAUCGAUGCCUGUCUUAGUGGUUCCUGCAAUUUUUCUCUCCAAUACUAACACGCCUGGUUUCGUGAAAACAAAUUAUUACAAAAUUAACAACUCAGUGCAGUGAGAAGGCUUUUGAGUUAGAGUUAAAGUCAGCUGAUAAUCGUGUCCUCUAGGAGCAGCUACUACAGAAGAAUGUGGAAAUCAACGAUUUACAAGAAACAAAUUUCGCAUUGAGCAACAACUCUCAGCAAAAGUGGAUAUAUCCUCUGAGAAGGAAGCUGAUUGUACACAACAUGAGACUAUUGAUUUGAAAUCUAAACUUCAGUCCAAGGAAGCUAAAAUUGAGAAGAUGAAAUAUGAACAUCUGACGAGGGAGGCUGCUUUGGCAAAGAAGGAGCUUCUUGAAGAGGAGUACAAGAAAAUGUUUGAUGAGGCAAAGAAGGAACUAUCUCUCGAGAAUGAUCUAGCAGGCAUGUGAGUUCUUGUUGCUAAAUUGAAAAGAGGGGCUUUAGACAUAUCUGAUUUGAAUGUUGAUGAUCGAACUAAAGUGUAAGGGCGUAGCGAUCACCACAUUGUUGUCUCAUAAUUGGUGUUAAUGAAAAAUAACAUGGUGCUGCACAGAAUCUCUACUUUCUCUUGUAAGAAGGAUUGUUCUGUCAGCAUAAUUUGAUUUGCAUGUAUAAUGUCUUCAUGCUUUACUUGCCCUUUUGUGAAAUGUGGCGAUCAGUUAUCUUGCCUUCCUUUUCUGUUUCUAUUCUGCGAUAGAAUGAUUGGAGUAGAUUAUAAGUAUGGUGCUAAUUUCAUAUAAAUAAUAAUAAUUGUUGCUAAUUUAUGGUCAAGUUAGUAGGAUAAUAAUUUAGCCCCCAGAAUAAAAUGUAUUGUUAAGUCUUAGCAAAAGUUUUAAAGAGAAUUGGGUGCCAUGUCUAUCUGGAUGCAAAAAAUGACCACUUUCUGCUUCGUUCUCGCUUGCGUAUCGUGGUGGUGCAGAGCAUUUGCGCCUAGAAGAAGCGGGUGGCGACGAAGGCGCUACAGGGUAGCGAUAGUUACGUGCCUUGUUUUCAUAAUUAUUGCCGUUGCAACGCACGGGCACCAUACUAGUAUAUAUAUAUAUGUAUUAAAGAGAAGAAUACGUUUUGAGAGAAUAUGUGAGUGACCAUGAUGAGAUAUUCUAAUAAAAUUAUAACAAUGAUGAGAUGAUCUGAAUUAAAAGUAAGCACUGGCUGGAAUUUUUUGAUGGGUGGUCCAUACCGCCGCAUCUUCGGGGUUUUAGGCUUUUGUCAAGGCCUCAAUGGUACGGUGCAAAUUGUUUCACUUUGUAGACCAUACGUAUAGUCUGUCCGGUGUCGUAUAUUUCAAACAUAAAUAACCACUAGUCGGUUACCGUGCGUUGCGACGGCUCACAACAAUACCCACAUAAAUUAUCCACAAAAAAGAUUUCAAGAGAUUUUUUAUUUAUUGUCUCCAUUUUUCACAUAAUAUUUUUAUGAGCGCACGGGUGCCGUAGGCAGCAAAUCAGAUACCCUCAUCCCUCGCCACUCUCACUUCCAAGGUUUCGUAGAGCAGGAGGGGAAGGGAAGAGGCGGACAUAUGUAGGGUCGAGAUGGCGGACUAGAGGGGGGUGAAUAGUCCUUUCUAAAACUAAUUACAAUGGCUAACACAAAUAAAUACGGAAUUAAAACUAUUUUGGUUUAGCCAAGACUACCUCCUCUAACUAUUACAAACACCUGACAAAAGAUUCUAAUUGAAACAACUAAGGUGCCAAGAUAGUGAAAGAGCUCUCCCAUACAUAUCUAGUUAGCAACGACAUACAAAUUAUGCAAAUGUAAUUUUAAGCACAACGAUAUCUCCUAAACAUACUAGUAAGCAAAGAGCACAAAGCACAAGCACUACUAGAGAGAAACAACUACUUAGCUACAUAAGCUAAGUAAAACAGAUUAGCUACACAAGCUAACAACAAGUGAGCAACUAUUUUAUUAUAGAUAUGACUAGAUAUACAAGAGCAUAUACGAGCAACAAAUACUCACUAGCAUAAGUAUAUGAACAAGUAAAUACAAGCUAGUGAGGAAAGUUGCAAACCAACGGAAAGAUGAUGACACGUGGCACAAUGAUUUUUUCCCGUGGUGUCGAUGACUUGCCGGUCACCCCUAGUCCACGUUGAGGUAGAUUCAAAGCUCCCAACCGCUCCUCUAUCAAGUCUCCACUUGAUCCCUUGAGCCGGAUUGGUCAAUGAACCCUCAAACCUCGAUUCCACUAGAGUUGCUUUUCACCACUCCGGCGAGGCAAGCACAACGCCUCUCACAAUCACCACCGCGGCCUCUUCACAGUCUCCUUUGAAGAGCUCACGGGGAACCACCACCAAGCCGUCUAGGAGGCGGCAACCUCCAAGAGUAACAAGCCAACGACCUCACUUGAUGAUCUCCCUAGUGCCUCAAAGAUCAACAACUUGAUGCAAUGCACUAGAUGGCUCUCAAUCUCACUAGAAUGCAAUCCGAACCAAUAUGAGUGAGAGAGAGGGAGAGGAAAGGCUCCAAUAUGCUCACAAGUGUUCCAACUAGCCUCCUUCUUGCUUUCAACCCGGGCAACACAAGGAUAUAUAGCCCCCUCUCCAAAACUAGCCGUUAUGGGUCAAUUGCC
Molecule: RNA transcript, 6859 nt
Organism: Zea mays
Lineage: Eukaryota; Viridiplantae; Streptophyta; Magnoliopsida; Poales; Poaceae
Exons: 14
Source: RefSeq, a predicted model, not a curated record